RNAcentral lists this long non-coding RNA (313 nucleotides) under Nicotiana benthamiana. RNAcentral describes it as "long non-coding RNA (NBEN_LNC024405)". Lineage: Eukaryota; Viridiplantae; Streptophyta; Magnoliopsida; Solanales; Solanaceae. The record is from RNAcentral.
GGUUUUUCACUUUCUUUUUUACUCCCAAGUUAAAAAGACAAGAUAGAGAGUUUAUGAAAGAGGGGAAAGCAGAAAUAGAAAUUAUAAGGUUGGAUCGAACAUAAGAAUAUGUGUCCAGGAAUUGAUUGCAGUUGCAGACCUUUGGCCUUUUUAUUAGGCCUCCCUUUUGCUCUCAUUUCCUUGCUUAUCACCGUAGUCGGCGUCUUCCUCUGGAUUAUCGGGUUUUUUAUUAUCUCUUUUUCUCUUCAAUUUUAAUUUCAUGUAAUUGUAUUUUAUGAAUUAUUUUUUGGCUCUAUAUAUAUAUAUAUAUAUA